Molecule: long non-coding RNA, 223 nt
Filed under: Brassica rapa (field mustard)
Lineage: Eukaryota; Viridiplantae; Streptophyta; Magnoliopsida; Brassicales; Brassicaceae
Description: long non-coding RNA (BRAP_LNC001260)
Source: RNAcentral
UGCACACACGAAUGAGUCAUGAGCAACUAAUUUACUCAGUGAAUCCAGAAUCACAACACAAUCAAUAAUAAACCAAACAAUUAUCAAAUGCAUAUCCAUGAUCAUGCAAGUAGUAGUACGAUACUUUAGUAUACCAAUGAUCAUUGUGAAUUCUUAUUUUAAACAUCACUUCCACAACACCCGCCCGUUACCAUACUCAUAUAAUACAAUAUAUAUACUAGAC